AACGAACGCUGGCGGCAUGCCUAACACAUGCAAGUCGAACGAGACCUUCGGGUCUAGUGGCGCACGGGUGCGUAACGCGUGGGAACCUGCCCUUAGGUUCGGAAUAACUCCCCGAAAGGGGUGCUAAUACCGGAUAAUGUCUUCGGGCCAAAGAUUUAUCGCCUUUGGAUGGGCCCGCGUUGGAUUAGCUAGUUGGUAGGGUAAAAGCCUACCAAGGCGACGAUCCAUAGCUGGUCUGAGAGGAUGGUCAGCCACACUGGGACUGAGACACGGCCCAGACUCCUACGGGAGGCAGCAGUGGGGAAUAUUGGACAAUGGGCGAAAGCCUGAUCCAGCAAUGCCGCGUGAGUGAUGAAGGCCUUAGGGUUGUAAAGCUCUUUUACCCGGGAUGAUAAUGACAGUACCGGGAGAAUAAGCUCCGGCUAACUCCGUG
This 433-nucleotide ribosomal RNA is filed under the name uncultured bacterium. Its description in RNAcentral is "partial 16S ribosomal RNA". It matches the Rfam family "Bacterial small subunit ribosomal RNA", at positions 29 to 507 of the family's 1533-position model. The record is from RNAcentral.